This 343-nucleotide unclassified non-coding RNA is filed under the name soil metagenome. RNAcentral describes it as "partial contains 5.8S ribosomal RNA, internal transcribed spacer 2, and large subunit ribosomal RNA". The stretch from base 1 to 120 matches the Rfam family "5.8S ribosomal RNA", at positions 35 to 154 of the family's 154-position model. The record is from RNAcentral.
GAUGAAGAACGUAGCGAAAUGCGAUAAGUAAUGUGAAUUGCAGAAUUCAGUGAAUCAUCGAAUCUUUGAACGCACAUUGCGCCCGCUAGUAUUCUGGCGGGCAUGCCUGUCCGAGCGUCAUUUCAACCCUCAAGCCCCCGGGCUUGGUGUUGGGGAUCGGCGAGCCUCCGCGCCCGCCGUCCCCUAAAUCUAGUGGCGGUCUCGCUGUAGCUUCCUCUGCGUAGUAGCACACCUCGCACUGGGAAACAGCGCGGCCACGCCGUUAAACCCCCAACUUCUGAACGUUUGACCUCGGAUCAGGUAGGAAUACCCGCUGGACUUAAGCAUAUCAAUAAGCGGAGGA